RNAcentral lists this ribosomal RNA (444 nucleotides) under uncultured bacterium. Its description in RNAcentral is "bacterial SSU rRNA". It matches the Rfam family "Bacterial small subunit ribosomal RNA", at positions 355 to 796 of the family's 1533-position model. The record is from RNAcentral.
UAAGGAAUAUUGGUCAAUGGGCGGAAGCCUGAACCAGCCAUGCCGCGUGCAGGAAGACGGCCCUACGGGUUGUAAACUGCUUUUAUACGGGAAUAAACCUCCGGUCGUGACCGGAGCUGAAUGUACUGUAAGAAUAAGGAUCGGCUAACUCCGUGCCAGCAGCCGCGGUAAUACGGAGGAUCCAAGCGUUAUCCGGAUUUAUUGGGUUUAAAGGGUGCGUAGGCGGCCUUGUAAGUCAGGGGUGAAAGACGGCAGCUUAACUGUCGCAGUGCCUUUGAUACUGCAGGGCUUGAAUGCACUUGAAGUAGGCGGAAUGUGACAAGUAGCGGUGAAAUGCAUAGAUAUGUCACAGAACACCGAUUGCGAAGGCAGCUUACUAAAGUGUGAUUGACGCUGAGGCACGAAAGCGUGGGGAUCAAACAGGAUUAGAUACCCCCGUAGUCC